UGAGUAAUGCCUAGGAAUCUGCCUGGUAGUGGGGGACAACGUUUCGAAAGGAACGCUAAUACCGCAUACGUCCUACGGGAGAAAGCAGGGGACCUUCGGGCCUUGCGCUAUCAGAUGAGCCUAGGUCGGAUUAGCUAGUAGGUGAGGUAAUGGCUCACCUAGGCGACGAUCCGUAACUGGUCUGAGAGGAUGAUCAGUCACACUGGAACUGAGACACGGUCCAGACUCCUACGGGAGGCAGCAGUGGGGAAUAUUGGACAAUGGGCGAAAGCCUGAUCCAGCCAUGCCGCGUGUGUGAAGAAGGUCUUCGGAUUGUAAAGCACUUUAAGUUGGGAGGAAGGGCAGUAAGCUAAUACCUUGCUGUUUUGACGUUACCGACAGAAUAAGCACCGGCUAACUCUGUGCCAGCAGCCGCGGUAAUACAGAGGGUGCAAGCGUUAAUCGGAAUUACUGGGCGUAAAGCGCGCGUAGGUGGUUCGUUAAGUUGGAUGUGAAAGCCCCGGGCUCAACCUGGGAACUGCAUCCAAAACUGGCGAGCUAGAGUAUGGUAGAGGGGUGGGUGGAAUUUCCUGGGGUAGCGGUGAAAUGCGUAAAUAUAGGAAGGAACACCGGUGGGCGAAGGCGACCACCUGGACUGAUCUGACCACUGAGGUGCGAAAGGCGUGGGGAGCAAACAGGAUUAGAAACCCCUGGUAGUCCACGCCGUAAACGUGCCAACUAAGCCGUUGGAAUCCUUGGAGAUUUUAGUGGCGCAGCUAACGCAUUAAGUUGACCGCCUGGGGGAGUACGGCCGCAAAGGUUAAAACUCAAAUGAAUUGACGGGGGCCCGCACAAGCGGUGGAGCAUGUGGUUUAAUUCGAAGCAACGCGAAGAACCUUACCAGGCCUUGACAUGCAG
RNAcentral lists this ribosomal RNA (897 nucleotides) under Pseudomonas sp. RNAcentral's name for it is "bacterial SSU rRNA". It matches the Rfam family "Bacterial small subunit ribosomal RNA", at positions 107 to 991 of the family's 1533-position model. Lineage: Bacteria; Pseudomonadati; Pseudomonadota; Gammaproteobacteria; Pseudomonadales; Pseudomonadaceae. The record is from RNAcentral.